Molecule: long non-coding RNA, 3965 nt
Filed under: Paramuricea clavata
Lineage: Eukaryota; Metazoa; Cnidaria; Anthozoa; Malacalcyonacea; Plexauridae
Source: RNAcentral
CCGGUAUCCACAACAGAAGAAGCUUCGCGUAUAUAGUACUCUCGUGUCGGGAAAUUUUAGUCGAGAAUCAAGGUGAGUGAUUAUUAAGGAGGUUGAAAUGUAGAACCGAUAUUGUAGAGUAAAUCUUUAUUUAAACACAGUGAUCUCAUUAGGAUAUUUCAAUAAUAAAAGUCAACAUUCACACAAUUAAUAGAAAAUAGAAAUACUAUAUAUGUGGAUCUAGUUUACAUAUAUUAUUGAAUCUAAACCCGUUUUCCAGGAAUGCCAUCAUGCAUAUCGUGCCUAUAAAUUUUAUCUUAAAAUUUUGGUGGUAUAAGUGGGCUAAAGAAACUCAUAAAAUAUUUGGACUACGGACCUUCAAACUUAUGCCAAGUAUUUAUUUGAUUGAUUAGGUCAAUUACUGUUUUUUGGCUUGUUUUCCGUCGAUUUGGUCAGAGAUUUGGUCGAUGUGUCAAUUACAUUGUGUUGCAGCCUGUAGAAUUGCAAUUAACAUGAAUAUUGACUAUUGUCGUUUGUCUGACAAUUAAUAAAACUUGUCUUCAUUGUUUUUAACCCUUGAAUGGCAACAUAUUCGUUGGUCUUGGAGGCUAACUUAAGGAAGAUGGAUGACUUUGGGACAAAUAUCAAGAUUCUAUUCAGAUAUCAAAUUUGAUGGACAUAACCAUAGGACCCUCAUUGUUCUUUUCCGGCUGGUAAUUUCAGCAAAUAUAGCUAGAAUAAAAGUUUUUCCGAAUAAGGAAUGCAUAUAAUAAUAACACACAAUUUAUAAAAACUGUAUUUUUCGAAUCAAAUUUGAUACAUUAACUUCAGCAGUUAUACAUUUGCAAGAUAUGUCGUUAUUAAGGCUGCUCUCCAGUCACGCGUUUUUCAUACGCACUGAAAAGUUUAAAUCUUUUUAAAUGUUACUUAUGAAAUAACUGAAUGAAUAAAAGAAAGCAUAUCGUUUUGGAAAUUAUUUAAUGUGCAUUUUACAGGUAAUUCAUACUAGUGUUAAGUUAAAAAAGUCGCUAUGCAAAAGCCCCCGUAUUCCCAGGCUUUCUUUCCAUUCCGUCCAAAGGACGGUUUUUCAAGUGUCGUUGAACUUGUCAACGAUAAUCUUUUUGAUAUACCCUCACUUGUUGGUCUUCCACGAACGGGAAAUCGAACUCGUCCUCGUCCACGAACUCGUCUGACUCGAGUUGACAGUGAAAAGGAUCUUGGCGUCAUCACUUGCUCCAGACUUUCAUGGGAACUUCAAAUCAAUUCUGUCAUCUCCAAGCCCAACAAAAUGUUAGGCGUACGUAAACUGAAACGAACAUGUGCUCAAAUGAGCACAGAGGCGUAGCCAUCUCGAUAAUUGGGGCACAGAGGCGUAGCCAUAUUCACAUAUAUUUGUAUUCCGCAUUAUUAAUUUCUUUUAUAAUCGAUUAUUACUAAGGUCUGUGAACACGAAUAUAUGAAUAUUGCCCCCCUCCCCCAAUUAUCCAAGCUGGCUAUGCCGCUGGGAAACAAAAUCUAUUUGUUGACAUUUUUGUUAAUUCCUUUUCACCCAGAUAUUGUAAAAAGCCCCGCAAGUCUUCGAAUGUACUGUUCUCCGGGAUUACGACAAUCCGAAAGACAGACGAACACAAGAUUUUGAUUCGAGUUCACAUAUAUCUGCGCGAAAGACUGGGUCGAGUGAACUCUGGAGAAUCCUGAGCAAGCAUCAAGAAUGGUGUGCUGGCGCUUGGCUGCAAUAAAAUAGUUUUAGUAAAGUUUGGGAAGGUAUCUUGCAUGGUUUUUCGAGUCCCAUUUAUACCUUGCCCAUUUAGGUUCUUUUUUCUAUUAAUAGUUUGAUUGAAUAUUUUUUAAUUGACCGUAAUAAAGAUUAUAAUAAUAGUACUGUAGUAUGAUAUCACACCGGGCAAGCUGGCCUUGCCCAUUUAUAUGGGCUAAAUAUAUAUCUGCCCGUGGUGACAGUGCUUAUAUAUUAAUUUUAUAUUAAUGCUUAUAUUAAUGCUUAUAUAUUUUUGAGAUUGCAUUCACAUGAACCAGGCUGAUCGAAUUGACUGGCACAGCUUCUGCUUGAGCCAGUUGUUAUUCUGCAUUGGGAGUCUUACACUAAAGGUCAUCAGCUGGUGAACCAGCUCACUAGAUUAUAAUACACAAUUUGGCCUAAGCGAGUAAGAUAUUAAUUAAUAUAAGCCUUCUGAAGCUGUUGCCAUUAACAAAUUAACCAGCACAUUACACAAAUUUCUUACCAGAACUUGCCAGGUUAGCCUGACUCCUGUGAGGCAAAUGACAAACUAGCCCUGAAAAGAAAUCCAACCAUGUUUGCUGGGCUAGCAUGGCCCAUAUUGAUAGCCCAUAACAGAGAAAACUUAUUUUUGGAAAGGGAAAGCUAAUUUUCAGAAGGGAGGUUUAUUUCUGAAGUUACUGGGGGCUAAAUACGGGAUUGCAUUAUCACAUAAUAUAUGUAAAAUAUUCAUUUGUGUACAGGUUAAUGCACAAAUUUAUGGACUAAAAUGUCCCAAUUAUAGUUUCAGGAUCUAUUGGGGACCUGUUUGUAUGAUCUAGGCUAUGCAGAACACUACAUCAUGCUUGACUCACACUGAUAGAGUGUUUACUGUAUAUGGUGAAUUUCGUGGCUUCCAUAGCCAGGAUUUUGGCAAUGGGAACCUUACGCUUAGCCUGGAUAGUAGCAUAAUAGGAUAGGACAUACUGGCAAACGUCAUCUUCCGCCUAGCCAAGUAAAACAUUGCCUGUCACUGCCUUGAAGAUGGCAAGAGGGUCAAUCCAUACUUUCCCUAUAUAAUCUCUAACCCUUCUGGCGUGGGCAAAUUAGGCUGGAUGCAAGCGACCUCUUCCGGCAGCUGAGUGACAGCUAGUGAAUAUUUCGAUAUUAUCUCUAUAUACAGUACAAUAUUUCGUAAGAAUAUUGACCUCACUUUGCUUCCAGAAGUAUAAGCAUUUUUGUAUCGAUCUCUUCAGUUCUCCAUUCUCUGUCUUCAAAAACACGUUCCUCAUUAUACUGUCCUUUCCUGGAAAGAUGUCAAGGACUUGACCGAGAUUCCACUUUCCUCGUGGUACAUUGUUUUCCACGAUGAAAGCAAUAUCAUCCUUCUCGCCAUUUUCCUUUUUCUGCCAUUUUGAUCUUCCAAUUGCUAUAUUAACUUAGGAAUGUAUUCUUCGAUAAAUCUUUUCCAGAAAUUGUUCACAAUUGUUUGUACAUACUGAAACCGCCUGCGGGAAUUCUUGGUAUUUUCAUACAAACCAUGUAGAAUAUUUUCUGAAGCUCGGCCUAAUAACAGAUGGUUGGGCGUCAGGGGUCGUAGGUCACUUGGAUCAUCUGGCACAUAGGGCAAGGAGCGGCUGUUAAGAAUCGAUUUUACUUCAGAAAAAACUGUAGCCCUUUUCCUGUCCAAAUCAGGGAUAUUUAGAAUAGUUUUGUCGAUUUCUUGGCUUCGAUCUUGAAUUCUUGCACACCAUGCAUGGACUGCAGAGAUCCAAACGUCCACUCUUCUGCUGUGUGGUUGCUCUAACCUCUCUCUUCCAACCACUGCUAAACAAUCCGUUCUUUUUUCCAUUCAAUCCGAGGUCUUUCGAGAACUGCUUUCGUGUAACUGUCGUUCCGGUGCCACUGUCGAUCAACACUUCACGAACUCUUCCGUUAGGGCCUCCAAUUACGGGCAUCAUACUCGUUCUGUCUAAAACUGAGGCGACUCCUGGUUGCUGGCUGUAGGUGGACUGGGUGGGUUGGAAUGUAAAAGAGGAUGAUGAAAGAAAGGACACGAAACACUCUUUUUGCUCUUCUUCUUCAAUCGACAAUCGUUCUUGGCAUGUCCACGAUUCAACACGAAAAGCAUAAUCUUGCUUUCUUUGCUAGCUCUAUUAAUAAAAUUAAUUUUAAGCAUCCAACUACUUUUUUUUUCUGUGUUGGUGUUGUGUACUUAGGUGAAUAAUAUGUUUGCGAUGUUACUCUGAGUGCAUAUCCACACCGGGCGAGC